This 486-nucleotide ribosomal RNA is filed under the name uncultured bacterium. RNAcentral's name for it is "partial 16S ribosomal RNA". It matches the Rfam family "Bacterial small subunit ribosomal RNA", at positions 30 to 507 of the family's 1533-position model. The record is from RNAcentral.
AUUGAACGCUGGCGGCAUGCCUUACACAUGCAAGUCGAACGGCAGCACGGGUGCUUGCCCCUGGUGGCGAGUGGCGAACGGGUGAGUAAUACAUCGGAACAUGUCCUGUAGUGGGGGAUAGCCCGGCGAAAGCCUGAUUAAUACCGCAUACGAUCUACGGAUGACAGCGGGGGACCUUCGGGCCUCGCGCUAUAGGGUUGGCCGAUGGCUGAUUAGCUAGUUGGUGGGGUAAAGGCCUACCAAGGCGACGAUCAGUAGCUGGUCUGAGAGGACGACCAGCCACACUGGGACUGAGACACGGCCCAGACUCCUACGGGAGGCAGCAGUGGGGAAUUUUGGACAAUGGGCGAAAGCCUGAUCCAGCAAUGCCGCGUGUGUGAAGAAGGCCUUCGGGUUGUAAAGCACUUUUGUCCGGAAAGAAAUCCUUGGCCCUAAUACGGUCGGGGGAUGACGGUACCGGAAGAAUAAGCACCGGCUAACUACGUG